GAGUUGAUCGUGGCUCAGAUUGAACGCUGGCGGCAUGCCUUACACAUGCAAGUCGAACGGCAGCAUGAUCUAGCUUGCUAGAUUGAUGGCGAGUGGCGAACGGGUGAGUAAUACAUCGGAACGUGCCCUGUAGUGGGGGAUAACUAGUCGAAAGAUUAGCUAAUACCGCAUACGACCUGAGGGUGAAAGUGGGGGACCGCAAGGCCUCAUGCUAUAGGAGCGGCCGAUGUCUGAUUAGCUAGUUGGUGGGGUAAAGGCCCACCAAGGCGACGAUCAGUAGCUGGUCUGAGAGGACGAUCAGCCACACUGGGACUGAGACACGGCCCAGACUCCUACGGGAGGCAGCAGUGGGGAAUUUUGGACAAUGGGCGAAAGCCUGAUCCAGCAAUGCCGCGUGUGUGAAGAAGGCCUCGGUGUAAG
RNAcentral lists this ribosomal RNA (420 nucleotides) under uncultured microorganism. Its description in RNAcentral is "bacterial SSU rRNA". It matches the Rfam family "Bacterial small subunit ribosomal RNA", at positions 9 to 429 of the family's 1533-position model. The record is from RNAcentral.